AAGACUUAAAACUAUUAGAGAACGUUAUAUUUUAAUCGGUAAAAUUAUAGUAAAACUUAACGUACAAAACUUAUCUGAGCUAUGAACCAUCUUGGAAAAGCUAUCCAACUUUUUAAACUUUUGAUUUCACUAUCCAAUCUUUCUAUUUGUUUGGUUUGAGUCGGUUAAUAACAUUUCGCUUCAAAAUUUAAAUACGUCAUAUAUAUAUCGUUACAGAGUUAGCUAGUAUAUUCCAUAUAAUUCUCACAACUAUAAGUUUAUUGAAAUAAGUGAUUGGCUAAAUUUAGAGUCAAGGUAAAAAAAUUGAAAGACUAGAGAGUAAAAUCGUCAGAUUUUUAAAAUAUUGGAUAGUCAUU
RNAcentral lists this long non-coding RNA (356 nucleotides) under Ananas comosus (pineapple). Its description in RNAcentral is "long non-coding RNA (ACOM_LNC017274)". Lineage: Eukaryota; Viridiplantae; Streptophyta; Magnoliopsida; Poales; Bromeliaceae. The record is from RNAcentral.